GUAUCAUCCAUGGGAGAAGAAGGUUGGUGUGAUCAAUGGGAGAAGAAGGUUGGUAUCACCCAUGGCAUAUCUCAAGGAUAGGCAAUUAGAUGGAAAGCAUGUAGCUACCAAAACUAGAUCACUUGCGCUCCGAGGUGUUUAGUCCAGACAUGCAAUGCUUCAAGAUAUUGGAUGGAAAUAAGCUCCAUAUAAAGAGAACACAUAUAUAGUUGCAGUGAGAUAAUCGGAUCAUUUUCAGCUAGCAUGGACCAUAUGAUUUUUGACCUGCCGACCAGCCAAUUAAUUGAUAU
Molecule: long non-coding RNA, 290 nt
Filed under: Elaeis guineensis (African oil palm)
Lineage: Eukaryota; Viridiplantae; Streptophyta; Magnoliopsida; Arecales; Arecaceae
Description: long non-coding RNA (EGUI_LNC020879)
Source: RNAcentral